RNAcentral lists this ribosomal RNA (433 nucleotides) under uncultured bacterium. RNAcentral describes it as "partial 16S ribosomal RNA". It matches the Rfam family "Bacterial small subunit ribosomal RNA", at positions 29 to 507 of the family's 1533-position model. The record is from RNAcentral.
AACGAACGCUGGCGGCAUGCCUAACACAUGCAAGUCGAACGAUGCCUCCGGGCAUAGUGGCGCACGGGUGCGUAACGCGUGGGAAUCUGCCCUUGGGUUCGGAAUAACUCGCCGAAAGGCGAGCUAAUACCGGAUGAUGACGUAAGUCCAAAGAUUUAUCGCCCAAGGAUGAGCCCGCGUAGGAUUAGCUAGUUGGUGGGGUAAAGGCCCGCCAAGGCGACGAUCCUUAGCUGGUCUGAGAGGAUGAUCAGCCACACUGGGACUGAGACACGGCCCAGACUCCUACGGGAGGCAGCAGUGGGGAAUAUUGGACAAUGGGCGAAAGCCUGAUCCAGCAAUGCCGCGUGAGUGAUGAAGGCCUUAGGGUUGUAAAGCUCUUUUAACCGGGAUGAUAAUGACAGUACCGGGAGAAUAAGCUCCGGCUAACUCCGUG